GGUCAAGCUACAAAGAGCUCACGGCGGAUACCUUGGCACACAGAGGCGAUGAAGGACGUGGUUACCUGCGAUAAGUCUCGGGGAGCUGGAAACACGCUUUGAUCCGGGAAUUUCCGAAUGGGGCAACCCCUAGUACGGCCAGCUGAAUCCAUAGGCUGGCGCGAGCCAACC
RNAcentral lists this ribosomal RNA (171 nucleotides) under Synechococcus sp. KORDI-11. RNAcentral describes it as "partial 23S ribosomal RNA". It matches the Rfam family "Bacterial large subunit ribosomal RNA", at positions 1 to 185 of the family's 2925-position model. The record is from RNAcentral. Lineage: Bacteria; Bacillati; Cyanobacteriota; Cyanophyceae; Synechococcales; Synechococcaceae.